UGGUGGAGUGAUUUGUCUGGUUAAUUCCGUUAACGAGCGAGACCAAACUUACUAACUAGACGCGUUAACCGUCUAAUACGCUGUGCAGGUCAGACGGCAGAGGAGCCUAACGGCUCCGCUCUGGCUGGCUGAAUCAGUUGAUGCGUUGGCGACGUCUUCUUAGAAGGACUGGCGACUUCAAGUCGCAGGAAGUUUUUGGCAAUAACA
This 207-nucleotide ribosomal RNA is filed under the name uncultured eukaryote. Its description in RNAcentral is "partial 18S ribosomal RNA". It matches the Rfam family "Eukaryotic small subunit ribosomal RNA", at positions 1299 to 1458 of the family's 1831-position model. The record is from RNAcentral.